GACGAACGCUGGCGGCGUGCUUAACACAUGCAAGUCGAGCGGUAAGGCCCUUUCGGGGGUACACGAGCGGCGAACGGGUGAGUAACACGUGGGUGACCUGCCCUCAGCUCUGGGAUAAGCCUGGGAAACCGGGUCUAAUACCGGAUAUGACUCCAUGACGCAUGUUGUGGGGUGGAAAGCCUUGUGCGGCUGAGGAUGGGCCCGCGGCCUAUCAGCUUGUUGGUGGGGUGAUGGCCUACCAAGGCGACGACGGGUAGCCGGCCUGAGAGGGCGACCGGCCACACUGGGACUGAGACACGGCCCAGACUCCUACGGGAGGCAGCAGUGGGGAAUCUUGCGCAAUGGGCGAAAGCCUGACCCAGCAACGCCGCGUGAAGGAUGAAAUCCCUCGGGA
RNAcentral lists this ribosomal RNA (394 nucleotides) under uncultured bacterium. RNAcentral describes it as "bacterial SSU rRNA". It matches the Rfam family "Bacterial small subunit ribosomal RNA", at positions 28 to 423 of the family's 1533-position model. The record is from RNAcentral.